RNAcentral lists this long non-coding RNA (1052 nucleotides) under Helianthus annuus (common sunflower). Its description in RNAcentral is "hypothetical non coding rna". Lineage: Eukaryota; Viridiplantae; Streptophyta; Magnoliopsida; Asterales; Asteraceae. The record is from RNAcentral.
UUCAAGCAUCAACACCUGAAACAUAUGUAAAAACUUAGUCAGCAAAGAAAUGCUGGCGAGUAGAUAGGUUUUAUAGGAGUGUCGAAUUCAUGGCUAGUUUAAGUGUUGCAAUACUUUAAUAAAAACUUUGUUUUGAAAAGAGUAUAAUAUUGCAACUUAAUUAACCAACUCGAAUCAAGUGGGUUAUAGUUUAUAAAACCUCGUAGCCAUGAUUCUUAACCCAAAAACCUUUGCUUUAGAACACCAACUUGUAAAACAUCUUGUAAAAGCUCGUUAAAAACUCGUAUAGUUUAUAUCUCUUAGAAAACAUCGUUGUGUGAUAUCGUUUCAAAAUCGUUUACCCAAGUGAACUAAAUAACGCCACGAUAUGUAAUAUGAUGAAAACACUUAUAUAUAAGAAGUACCAUCGGCGUAUCUACCAUGUUUUCACCACAUUACACCCGUCUCGUUAUCUAAACACUUAACCAAAAACCAAUCGCUUAUCGAAAUCGUUUAACAUCGUAUCCAAGUCGUUCCCAAAUCGUUUACUCGUUUCACCUCGUGUAUCUCGUUUCAAAUCGUUUAACUCGUCUCAAAUUCGUAUUCGUUUUAAUAGUGAACUACUUUUGGUCGUCUCGCUAACAACAUUCAAACCUGUGUGACUCGAUUAUUGUUCAACUCGUUUUCGCAUUAACAAACCUCCAAAGGGUAAGUUAAAAAUUAUCAGAUUCAGUCGUUACCCACAACCCCCACACAUAACCAUGGGUGUAGUGCAAUAACGGGAUUUGUCAGAUCCUAUGCUCGUUAAAAACUCGUAUAGUUUAUAUCUCUUAGAAAACAUCGUUGUGUGAUAUCGUUUCAAAAUCGUUUACCCAAGUGAACUAAAUAAAGCCACGAUAUGUAAUAUGAUGAAAACACUUAUAUAUAAGAAGUACCAUCGGCGUAUCUACCAUGUUUUCACCACAUUACACCCGUCUCGUUAUCUAAACACUUAACCAAAAACCAAUCGCUUAUCGAAAUCGUUUAACAUCGUAUCCAAGUCGUUCCCAAAUCGUUUACUCGUUUCACCUCGU